UUAUAAGAUGCACAAAGAACAUGACCUCAACCCCACACUGCAGGAGCCUACCGUGUGUAUGUGUGUGUUGUGUGUGGGAGUGUGUGUUAGUGUGUGUGUUUGUGUGUGUGUGCAUGUGUGUGUGUGUGCGUGUUUGCGCACUUGUGUGACACAAUAGUUUGAGGAAUACAGUACUAUCUUCCAGAGCAUACCAAGAUGGCGCUCAGUUUUGGGGGCCAAAUCGUGGUGCAACAGCGACAUUAAGAGGCCAAUUGAGGUGUAGUAUACAUCUCGUGCCAUUGAUGAAUGGAAAUGAAGCUCGUGAUGAAGUCCUCAAUGGAUAAGUCUUCAGUUGUCCUUCAGUCAAAACAUGAAGACCACUCAGUGUCCCUUACAUGUCCUCGGCUGUUUUUAAAGUGACAAAGUGUGACCAAUCUGUCUCAAGAAAAGGAAAAUCUAAAUGGAGGUGGGGGCAAUGGGGCCGGAAACAGUCGUGCCCUGGCACCCAACAGCCAUUUCAGUUCUGAGAGAAAAUAGAUUGCAGAUGUUUUUGCAUGCACACGCACGCACGCAUGCACACACACAAAUAAAACAGUGGAGAGACUGUUCACAACCUAGUACACUUUGUAUUUGACUACACAUGAAAUAAGUUGACAAGUACUGCAUCAUUAAAGUCUGCAAUCGACCCAGCUAUUCCUCAUUGAAAUGCAUCAGAAAAAUAUUCUUAACUGUACAGGCAAUGCUAGAAGUCAGUGAUUCCCAACUACUGUUUUCCAAUUUCACUAGAUUGGUCCAAAAACAUAUUUGUCUACUAAUAAUAAUGUAUCAAUCUAGAUCUAUUUAUGACGAAACGCGAUCAAAAGAAUAGUUAAAUGCUCUUCCACUUGAUGGGAAAAGGUACAAUUGACCUGUAGAUACAGCUGCUGCCAUUUAAAUAACAGAAUAAUAGCCUAAUAGCUUAAUAGCUUAACUUCACAGACCUGUAUUUUCAAGAAUGAGUAAAUUGAGAUGAUAUCAUCAUGAUGCAAGUGUUUUUGUUUGAUGGUGUUUACUGAAUUUUAUGAAUGUAAAGUAUGUGCUUUGGCUAAUAAAAUUGUGGGAGACACUGCUCUAAAUAUCAUUUUUAACUGUCAUUGCAUUUAAAAUGAAGUAAAGCAGUGAAUUGAAAACAUAAUGACUUGUAAAAGUGUCCUUAUCGUGGGGUAUUUUACGCAUACUUGAGUUGUUAGCAGGAAUGCUAAUGAAUGUCUUUCUAUUACCAAUUUGCUGUUUUAAACAUAAUUUGGCCACAUUGUUUUGCUUAUGUGGACAGUAUAUAUGAAUUGAAUAGACAUAAAUAUGUGAUCUAAAGCAUUCAAAUCAUAUCUUGAGCUUUUAGCAUUGAUGGUAAAAAAUAAAAGAGAUUUGAUUUUCCAAAAAAAGACCCAGAAAUUCUAAACAUUCUAAACUUAGCUCCUUUCAGACAUGCAAAAUAUCUAAGAACAGCCAAGACGUGUCACUCCAACAUAAUUAAGUCCUUUACACCAAUUAGCCAACUAACCUGUUAGUCAUGACUUUGGAGCCAUCUUGUGCCAUCUUGGAGAAUUACAGAA
This is a long non-coding RNA of Syngnathus typhle (broad-nosed pipefish), 1571 nucleotides long. RefSeq lists it as uncharacterized. The transcript is spliced from 3 exons. NCBI's taxonomy places the organism in Eukaryota, Metazoa, Chordata, Actinopteri, Syngnathiformes, Syngnathidae. The record is from RefSeq and is a predicted model, not a curated record.